Aquila chrysaetos chrysaetos is the source of this 409-nucleotide long non-coding RNA. RefSeq lists it as uncharacterized. The transcript has 3 exons. The record is from RefSeq and is a predicted model, not a curated record. Lineage: Eukaryota; Metazoa; Chordata; Aves; Accipitriformes; Accipitridae.
GGGCAGAGUGAGGUGGAGCUUGGCUGCGGAGUCUCCCUGAUCUUUCCAUGGAUAUCUGCAGCACCUGGGGUCCACGGCAAAACUCUUUCCUUCAGAGGCCAAGAGCUGAGUCUACAAUUUCAAGCAGGGUCCUGUAUGAGCUGCCAAAGAACUACAUAUGCACCAGACGUACGUACACAUGUACGCUGAACGCAUGGUGUCUGGGCAGGAACUGCACAGCUCUGGGGUCAGUUGGAUUUCUCACGUACUCUUACUGCACUUUGCACAGUUAAAACACCUUCAACCAAGAUCAAGAUAUCAAAUACUGCACCAACACUUUCGUUAUUUGAUCCUACCAAGAAAGCUAAUGAAUGGAUACUUGCUGCUCAGUUCAGAAGAAGUGCCUGUGACCUGCUUUUACCCUCCAUGC